Molecule: long non-coding RNA, 1551 nt
Organism: Polyodon spathula (Mississippi paddlefish)
Lineage: Eukaryota; Metazoa; Chordata; Actinopteri; Acipenseriformes; Polyodontidae
Exons: 3
Source: RefSeq, a predicted model, not a curated record
UCUAACGACCCCUUAACUUUAACCUGUCUCCCAAGAUGGCUGCUGUAUUGGAAUUGUGUGCCAUUUAAGGUACUGGCUUUUGUUACGGGUCUGGGGAUAGCCUUGCCCAUCACAGAUUACUGUUAAUAAAGAAACUGAGACAGUAAUGCUUUCUAUUCUUCAGCUGGAGUCUUUACUAAUCACAAAUGCAGUAGCAUUUACAAAAAUACAUCUUUUCAUUCAUUUUUAUUAUUUUUCUUUUACAGAACAUAAACAUUCAUUUAUAGCAUUCAUUCUAUUUAAUUUCAUUGUGUUUAAUUUCAGAACAAUUCACCAUCUCCAUUCACUAGUCAACACAGAAUCCUCUUCAAUACAAAAUAAAUCUAUCAAAUUCAAAGGUUCUAGUUCCCCGAUUAUCUUAGACCCAGUGACUAACUGCACUGCCACCUACUGGUUAGUAGUGAUAAAAAGGCUAGUAGUUUUGCGAUAAACCAAAUCUAUGACAAUUCUCUGCCUGUCACACUUUGCAUCUGGAAAAUUGUGUUCCGUCUCCCAGCAAAUAGAAAGCAGGCUAUGACUGUUGCUCAGGCCAUGACAAAUGGCUAUGCUAUAAACACUACACCAACUCGAAUUCUGGUUAGAGCUGCAUACAACUCCACAGAAAGCCAGCCUCAGGUGUGAAAGUCCCCUCACCUCUAACAGAUCCAAACUGUACCAAUGGCUGUGCUAAGAUCAACCACCUUUUAUAAGCAAAGCUGGAUGGUCAUGAUGGUGGACACUGCAGUUACAUGUCCUACUGAUGGAAGAGCCUUCACAGAAGAGAUGAUCACAUGGAAUGUUCCCCGUGUUCUACCUCUUGUUUCUACACCACAAAUUACUACCCUUGUUGUUCAAAUGGGAGUUGAUGGCCGCAAGCUUGACCCUGCAACAACUGAGAAUAGAAACUAUAAACUGGAUGUUGGUCCCCAGCUAUCACUGUAAAAAUUCCUGUGGGCGCUGAUGGUGGAUAUUACAAGGAAUGUAAAAGUUCAUCUCCUUAAAUCCUUCUCAUUUUAAAGCUUGCCUCUAAAAUGCUUCUUUGCUUUCAGAGCCAUGUAUUAGACAACACCUAUGUGUAUUAACUGGGGAUGAUCUUGUGGUUAGUACGGAGGACGGUACUAAACUAGCACAUGAGUUAAUACCAAUUGCAACUCAAGAGUCACCAGCUGCAUAUUCAAGCCCAAAAUAACUAUUGUUGCCCUCUAGGGGUUACUAAACCAAUACUAAAUUAGUCUAGCAGUUUCUGUAGACAGAUUUGUGGUACUGUACUAACUGGAACAAAUAUGAAAAGUCCCAAAAUGUUUUAACAAUUAUGAAGCUGACCUAUUCAUAAUCAAAACAUAUUUUGAAACUGUGAAAAAUUGCAAUUGGUUCUAAGUUAGUAUGCAGCUGGGGGUGAUCCUGAGUACCAUAUUAGCUAGUCAGCGACUUGAUACUCAGUUCUGUACUAAAUCUGCAUGUUCAUUGCAACUGAGUCUUUUGAUUUCUCUUCCAGUUUGACAACAACCUCCUGACUUAUGAGAGUGAAGUGCU